AGAGUUUGAUCCUGGCUCAGAACGAACGUUGGCGGCGUGGAUUAGGCAUGCAAGUCGUGGGAAUCCCAGCAAUGGGGGAACCGGCGUAAGGGGCAGUAAGGCAUAGGUACCUACCCUCGGGUUCGGGAUAGCUCUUGGAGACAAGAGGUAAUACCGGAUGAUGUCGUGAGACCAAAGGUCCGCCGCCCGGGGAGGGGCCUAUGUGAUAUUAGCUAGUUGGUGAGGUAACGGCUCACCAAGGCGAAGAUGUCUAGCGGGUGUGAGAGCACGACCCGCGCCACUGGCACUGAGACACUGGCCAGACACCUACGGGUGGCUGCAGUCGAGGAUCUUCGGCAAUGGGCGCAAGCCUGACCGAGCGACGCCGCGUGGGCGACGAAGGCCUUCGGGUUGUAAAGCCCUGUCGAGGGGGAGAAAAGCGAAAGCUUGAUCUAUCCCUGGAGGAAGCACGGGCUAAGUUCGUGCCAGCCGCCGCGGUAAUUC
This 483-nucleotide ribosomal RNA is filed under the name uncultured bacterium. RNAcentral's name for it is "bacterial SSU rRNA". It matches the Rfam family "Bacterial small subunit ribosomal RNA", at positions 8 to 526 of the family's 1533-position model. The record is from RNAcentral.